RNAcentral lists this small nucleolar RNA (107 nucleotides) under Gossypium hirsutum (cotton). RNAcentral's name for it is "Plant small nucleolar RNA R71". It matches the Rfam family "Plant small nucleolar RNA R71". From Rfam's summary of the family: R71 is a member of the C/D box family of snoRNAs containing the C (UGAUGA) and D (CUGA) box motifs. Multiple nearly identical copies of this snoRNA have been identified in Arabidopsis, and it is thought to function as a 2'-O-ribose methylation guide for 18S ribosomal RNA. The record is from Rfam by way of RNAcentral. Lineage: Eukaryota; Viridiplantae; Streptophyta; Magnoliopsida; Malvales; Malvaceae.
AAACCAUGCAUAGGACAUUUUCUAAGUAAUUGCUUAAAUCUUUCCGAGGCUUUGUAAAGCAUUUCAUCCUCUAAUUUCUAAAAAUAUGUGAUGUCAUUUCUAAGAUU